UGCCAAAUAACUGCCAUAAAUGCCCUCCAUUAGUAACUUUUCUGGUUAGAACCCAAAACUGCCAUUUGACUUAUCGGUGUGUGUUAACCAUAUGCAUUAUUAGCAACUUUUCCAAUAGGUUUCAUAAGCUAUUUCAGUGUAUUCCUUUUUUUACUUCACAAUAUUAGCAGCUAAGCUCAGCCUCAGGAGCUGUGAUAGAAUGACACAAUAUCAUAGUGUUUGUAGCAGAUGUCGCGGCCCUAGAAGGGCUGAAAAUAGGAAGUUAAAGAAGUCCAUUUAAGCAUUUAAAGUUUAAAUAGUGAAAAUCAAUCAAAUUUGCUGAAAUUAACCUUAUUUGAUUUACCGCAGACUGACUGAACCGGCAUUCGUCAUUACGCUCUUAGUGAUGUCGACUCUUUACCCGGCGGUCACUACCAUACCUACGCUUUGUAUGCAGCACAUGUAGCACUAGCAGAUUGAUGCUACGCAGUACAAGCAGUGUCUUCAUGGGUGGCAGUCGACAGAUCGGUUGGAUUGUCUCAGAACUUUCACAGAGGUGUAAAGAUUAAUGCAAAAAUUCACACUGAAGAAUACUUCAUCAUCGGACUGUCUGUGCUUUUAUUCACGCCUCCUCAAUCAGGACUAGGCAUCAGUAUCCAACAUAAUGCUGAGCCUCUCUCACACACUCACUGUACACACACAAAGACUCAUCAAGGACAUAGAAUACUUCUGUCGAGUUGAUAAAGACUUUGUCAUUGAGAGUGAACCAUAGUAACCUCGUCAACAGAACUUUUCUUUGGUUUACGAAACAGAAGCCCAUUCACUUUUUGUCUUCUUCUGUCGCCCACAUCAUUCAGUGCUUCUUUAAAAGCUGAAAGAAACUGCCAACAGCAACAUGAGAGCGCUAUGAACUCAGAGACAUGGAGCUUUGUUCUGGGAGGGGCGGGCUGUAAAUAUUGGGGCGUGGACUGGUAACAACACAGCCAACAGAACAAUAAACUCACCUGUCAAUGACACAGGACAUACAGCACAUUAAUAUAACACACCACUCUCAACCACGAAGGAGAGGUACGUUUAAGCCCCCCUGAAUAUUAACAAAAAGCUUAAACUGACGAUUAAAGCUGCAAGCAGCACACGUGAUGUGUUCAGGGUGGGUUUCUUAUCAAACAUCUAAAGUUCGGUGCUGAGAAAGUACACUGAAGUAAUCACAACUUCCUGUUUCAUAGCAAAAUGUAAAAAUUUCGAUGCAAAGCCACAGAUACAAACUUUAGAUUGCACUGAGCGGAUUUAAAAUCAAUCUAAUCGUUUCUCUAAGAGUUUGUUGAAGCAAACACUUAUUGUAUCGGCCAGUUUAUCCAACCGAGGGUCUGUCACACUCUAACACACUCAUUCAGACUAUAAAACAAAAGGCAGCCUAAUAACAGCAGCUUCGUUUGUUGCAUUUGGUUUAGCCAUAAGAACCUUGAUCACAGCUGUUGGCAUUUAACAC
Molecule: long non-coding RNA, 1468 nt
Filed under: Dicentrarchus labrax (European seabass)
Lineage: Eukaryota; Metazoa; Chordata; Actinopteri; Moronidae
Description: lncRNA (ENSDLAG00005029239.1)
Source: RNAcentral